GCUAACCCUCACUCAGUGUGGGGAUUUCUAGUUCGAAAUCAUGGUGCCACAUCAAAGUUGUUCAUUGUUACUCAAAAACACACCUCUCCAUACAUAUGUUUUGUGGCACCCCGAUCCGCAUGGAGCAGGGGGCCUUCGCACGUCAGCCCAGGAUAACACCUGACGCACGACAGGUCCAUAAUACAGCAUUCCAGGUACAAAAAUAUUCAUCAAAUACAUGUAUAUGAGAUUACAUCAUUGAUGAAUACAAUUAUCUGGCAUAGCCCUAAGGCUAUUAAAUGACAGCGGAAGUCCGAUAAAAAUGGCGGCGGAAGUCUUGGUUUGGCAGCAUAACAACUCUGGCUGGGCUCCACAACUCACAGGACUGGCAAGAUUACGGCCUAGCACGACGGAUCAAGCGAGCAAUACGGGUACGACCUACAAAACUGGCAUGACACGCCAGGUCAGUACAUUGAAUGUACUUGCAAGACAACCAAAUACAUAGCAUCCAAACAAGCUGCAGACAAAGCAAGAACCGAGCGCAUGCAACACCCUAUCUCAUAUCAAUUACUAAACAUGGCAUGAUAAAAAUCAACUAAGCAUGAACAAAAUCAUAACAUCUACUAACAUGGCAAUGACAUGGCAUAUCAGAACAUGAUUAUAACAUUGUAAUAGCAAAACAUAGAAUUUUAUCUCAAUCAUGGCAUAACUUAACAUGUCAAUCAAAGCAUAACAUGGCAUCAAGAAACUAUGCUGAAAAUAAACUACCAAUAAUAUCCAAUGCAGACAUAGCAUGUUAACAUUAUGCAAUCAUCUUCUGUUCUAUCAUGGUUCUUUAAAUGCAAAUAAUGAUAUAUUAUUUCUGCAAUGCAACCAAACUUGUGCACCGAGUCCCUCGGACUCUCUUAUCAACUGUGAUCAUCUCUGGAUCACAAACACACCACCAAAGUGGUCUUUCUCAAGAACAACUCGUGAUCCUUACGGCGAUCACAACCACGACCAACACUUGGUCUCCAACCGUGAUCCUUACGGCGAUCACAACCACGACCAAUAUUUGGCCCGUGAUCCUUACGGCAAUCACAACCACUUAUCUCAUCAUCAAAAUAUCGUCGCGACUCCUCACGACUAUCUCAUAGUUCAAGUUACCAUACUCUUGUUAUCACAUAUUUAUUUACCAACUUAAUUAUUUCAGUUUGUCCUCCAUUUCGACCAAGACCUGAUAGUGGGACCUACUACGAACUAUUGCUAUCGAUAGACUUUAUACACUCUGCAGAGGUAGCACACUGUACCCACACCACGGAACCCAUGGCCUCGUCGUCCCAUUCGGGUGGACCAACGACAUUCCGACGAAACCAACCUACUGCCAUGACGCUCUCCCGGCCACUCCAACCCAAUCCCCAACGGGCUGGUCCUGGGUGGCCCCGUGUCUACCAAAGACACCCCGACCACCGUCGUGGUCAACUCCCACUCGGGGACACUCCCACUCGGGGACUGGUACCAAAAAUCUCAAAAACGAGCACACAAGGUUAUGUCCGCUUACCUGAUCAGGGUAAGCACGCCCAUAACCUUCCCUAGUGGGAGGCACCGGCGAGAGGUCACGACAAUAGCUCGCAUUAAGGCCUCCCGUAAGGCAAAUGUGUCUGCACUGAAAAAGUUUGGUUUGGCGGCACUAUGACUCGAUCCCAUCGAUGACGGAGGAGGUUUGUUAUUAUUAAGUCAUUUUAUUUCCUUCUCCAUCAUCAUGAACAUAUUUAACAUGAGUGCAACAUGCCGCAUACAAAUGCACGAACAAAAUAUUGAACUCCUCAAGUGCACAACUAUAACAUAAAGGACACGACAAUAGUAUAUCAACGGUACAUUACAAUCCUCAUAACAGUUUAUAACGAUGACAUGCAAAUAAAGUAGAGUAUUGGCAUGGCAUUAUUAAUAAUAACAUUCUAAUUAACAUGGCAAAGGUAUCAUGAAACACAAGCAUGCAAGAUAGGCAUAAAGAAAUAACUGCCGAUGAAAACGAUAUAAAACAACUACAACUACACACACAAGGUGCAAGCAAAGUCAACAUGGAAGUUCGGGGCUCAUGAUAAGAGGUUGGCUUGCCUGGGGGUCGGCAAAUACUCCGGGAAGAAGUGCGAAACGAUCGCGGAAAGAUUUGCCGGAAACAGUUCUCUCUCGGAGGAGGCUGUUUACGGUCAAGGGCAAAAUGGUCAUUUUCACUGUGUGAAAAUAUUAUGAAAAUGAUACCAACGGAAAGAGCUCGACGAACAGAGAACAUGAGCACUGGAAUCACCUUAUUCGGAGUUACGGGUAAAAAGAUACGAACGUUUAAAGCUCAGGGACUAGUCUGUAAAAAUACUUCUACAAACAGGUCCCUGGUAGUUUAAACAGAACGUGUCUUUUCUGAAAAUAUGUUUUCCAGAAAGGGAAACGUAUUCCCAGCCGAAGGAGAGGAAGAAUACGCUUUCUGAGAUAGAGAGCGUACUAUACGGAAAGGCGCUUUCGCGCGGGGAAAGCGGUUUCACGGUGGGGCGCCGCCAGUUAUCCGACGUGGCAAGCGGGGCCACGCCCUACGGUCGCCGACAGGUGGGGCCGCGCGGGAAGGGGGC
This 2582-nucleotide long non-coding RNA is filed under the name Triticum aestivum (bread wheat). Its description in RNAcentral is "long non-coding RNA (TAES_LNC015904)". Lineage: Eukaryota; Viridiplantae; Streptophyta; Magnoliopsida; Poales; Poaceae. The record is from RNAcentral.